CGGCUUGGAGCCUGCAUUGCUGGAGCUGUGGUGUAGACUGGCAGCUGUAGCUCUGAUUCCAACCCGAACUUGGGAACUUCCAUAUACCGCAGGUGUGGCCCUAGAAGGAAAAAAAAGGAAGCAACAGUACUUGUGGAAGUGGUAAUAAUAACGGUAAGGUGACGGCGGGGUUUUAGGAGUAGAGCGCCGACCUCAGAGGCCACGGAGACGGGAAGCCGGGCCUCAGUUCUGCAGAGAGGCAUUUUGCGCGGAGCUUUGUCAUUUGGAAGGAUGCUUAUUACAGAGGGCUUUGUGGUAUCCCUUCCUCCUUUUUCCUCAAUUGUGGUGGUUUUCUGUCUGGCGUGGGCAGCGUUUGUGGCCAGGUCCUCUGAAGCAGCUCACCGAGCACUGAUGUUCAUUGUAGGACAAGCUGUGGGAACCUGGGAAGAGAAAGGAAAGUCACUUGGCCUCGAAGUGACCAGCGGCGCUUGGGAGAAAGCAGUGAGGGGGCCAGUGUGAGCCCAGUUUGUAGGAGUGCCAAUGCCUGGACCACAAGGCUAGGCUUUCAAUCCCUGUAGACCCUCUUGGCAGCGUGGACCUCAGCUCUUCUGGUUUGUCAUGGUGCCAAGGUCAGCAAGAUGCAGGGCUUCCACCUGAAGGCAGCUGGUCCCACCCCUGACACCCGACGGGGCUUUUGUCUCUUCUGACAUGACGCCUUUCAGAUGAAGGAAAACCAUGGCCGUGCUCUGCUCCCUUUCAUUCGCUGGCCGCCCUGCCCACCCAGAGGCGGGCAUCCUUUAGCCUCGUUCCUGAUGCUGCUGACGAUGGGCUGGGAUCAUUCUGCCAGCUCGGACUGCUCUCCCACCCGCAUCCGGGCACCUGCUGGCAUUGUGCUGCACCCUGGGGUGACGAGCGAUGCAAGGCCUGGGUCCCGAGGAGGUCACAGAGGCGGGUUUGUGGGCCCCGGAGGAGGAAUGUGACCCUCGACGUUCAUUGUAACACCGAGCAUCUGCAUCCAUAGACGCCCCUCUUGUUCUCUGGCCUCAUGGGUGGGAGCCAGAAAUGGGAGCUCGCUGGGCCUGGGUAUCUUAUGAGGAUGGAAUGGAUUGGAGCAAGGAAGAGGCGGGUGUGGACUAGGCCCCUGAUGGGACUCCCUGGUCCUGUUCUCCCUUCAGCCUUGGACCAGGGCACUGUGGCACUGCAUAUGCCCUGCUGUGCUGUGUAGCUGUGCACACUGCCUUGCCUGCCUCUUUGCCCCAUUUCCUGUCCUGGAAAGACGGGGUGAUCCUUAGAAGCUGCGAAGAACAGUGACAUAACCCAAGAGCUAUUUGAGUUCUCGGGCGGAAGAUGCUUUAUAAGCUGUCUCUGUAACUGGCCUGGGCAGCAGAGCUGGGAAAGGAAGUCCAGCUUCUCACACCUUCUUGCUUUUUAGCAAAAAAAAAAAAAAAAA
Molecule: long non-coding RNA, 1429 nt
Organism: Sus scrofa (pig)
Lineage: Eukaryota; Metazoa; Chordata; Mammalia; Artiodactyla; Suidae
Source: RefSeq, a predicted model, not a curated record